CAAUAAAAAUGGUCAUAACUCCUAAAAUAUUGAUUUUAGGAGAAAUUUAUAAGAUACCACAAUUGUAGCUUAGGAAAUUUCCUAUAUAAAACACUCCUACUGUUUA
Long non-coding RNA from Cotesia glomerata, 106 nucleotides. RefSeq lists it as uncharacterized. The transcript has 3 exons. The record is from RefSeq and is a predicted model, not a curated record. Lineage: Eukaryota; Metazoa; Arthropoda; Insecta; Hymenoptera; Braconidae.